GAUCAUGGCUCAGGAUAAACGCUAGCUACAGGCUUAACACAUGCAAGUCGAGGGGCAGCAUGGUCUUAGCUUGCUAAGACUGAUGGCGACCGGCGCACGGGUGAGUAACACGUAUCCAACCUGCCGUCUACUCUUGGAAAGCCUUCUGAAAGGAAGAUUAAUACAAGAUGGCAUCAUGAGUCCGCAUGUUCAUAUGAUUAAAGGUAUUCCGGUAGACGAUGGGG
This 224-nucleotide ribosomal RNA is filed under the name uncultured bacterium. RNAcentral's name for it is "partial 16S ribosomal RNA". It matches the Rfam family "Bacterial small subunit ribosomal RNA", at positions 15 to 230 of the family's 1533-position model. The record is from RNAcentral.